UUCCGGUUGAUCCUGCCGGACCUGACUGCUAUCGGAUUGAUACUAAGCCAUGCGAGUCAUUGUAGCAAUACAAGGCAGACGGCUCAGUAACGCGUAGUCAACCUACCCUAUGGACGGGAAUAACCUCGGGAAACUGAGAAUAAUGCCCGAUAGAACACUAUGUCUGGAAUGGUUUGUGUUCCAAAUGAUUUAUCGCCGUAGGAUGGGACUGCGGCCUAUCAGUUUGUUGGUGAGGUAAUGGCCCACCAAGACUAUUACAGGUACGGGCUCUGAGAGGAGUAGCCCGGAGAUGGGUACUGAGACACGGACCCAGGCCCUAUGGGGCGCAGCAGGCGAGAAAACUUUGCAAUGUGCGAAAGCACGACAAGGUUAAUCCGAGUGGUUUCUGCUAAAGGAACCUUUUGUCGGUCCUAGAAACACCGAUGAAUAAGGGGUGGGCAAGUUCUGGUGUCAGCCGCCGCGGUAAAACCAGCACCUCAAGUGGUCAGGAUGAUUAUUGGGCCUAAAGCAUCCGUAGCCUGCUUUGUAAGUUUUCGGUUAAAUCUGUACGCUCAACGUACAGGCUGCCGGGAAUACUGCAAAGCUAGGGAGUGGGAGAGGUAGACGGUACUCGGUAGGAAGGGGUAAAAUCCUUUGAUCAAUUGAUGACCACCUGUGGCGAAGGCGGUCUACCAGAACACGUCCGACGGUGAGGGAUGAAAGCUGGGGGAGCAAACCGGAUUAGAUACCCGGGUAGUCCCAGCCGUAAACCAUGCAAACUCAGUGAUGCAUUGGCUUGUGGCCAAUGCAGUGCUGCAGGGAAGCCGUUAAGUUUGCCGCCUGGGAAGUACGUGCGCAAGUAUGAAACUUAAAGGAAUUGGCGGGGGAGCACCACAAGGGGUGAAGCCUGCGGUUCAAUUGGAGUCAACGCCGGG
This 914-nucleotide ribosomal RNA is filed under the name uncultured archaeon. RNAcentral describes it as "bacterial SSU rRNA". It matches the Rfam family "Archaeal small subunit ribosomal RNA", at positions 1 to 922 of the family's 1478-position model. The record is from RNAcentral.